RNAcentral lists this ribosomal RNA (305 nucleotides) under uncultured bacterium. RNAcentral's name for it is "bacterial SSU rRNA". It matches the Rfam family "Bacterial small subunit ribosomal RNA", at positions 334 to 633 of the family's 1533-position model. The record is from RNAcentral.
AUUUCCUACGGGGGCAGCAGUAGGGAAUUUUCGUCAAUGGGCGCAAGCCUGAACGAGCAAUGCCGCGUGAACGAGGAAGGUCUUCGGAUCGUAAAGUUCUGUUGAAGGGGAAAAAGAGCGGAGAGAGGAAAUGAACUCCGAUUGAUAUUACCCUUCGAGGAAGUCACGGCUAACUACGUGCCAGCAGCCGCGGUAAUACGUAGGUGGCGAGCGUUAUCCGGAAUGAUUGGGCGUAAAGGGUGCGUAGGCGGCCUGCUAAGUCUGGAGUGAAAGGAACCGGCUCACCCGGUACAGGCUCUGGUACC